GAAGCAUUCCGCACCAUCGCUCCGAUGCCAACUGUCGCAUCGGUGAGGAAAGUCCGGACAGCGCAGGGCAUUCCGCUACCUAACAGGUAGGACCCGCAAGCGUGAGCGCGCGGGGCCGGCAAGUGCAACAGAAAGUAUACCGCCUACCUUUGGGUAGGUAAGGGUGAAAUGGUGGAGUAAGUGCCCACCGGUGUUUCGGGUGACCGGAGCAGCCAGGUAAACCCCGGGAGUUGAAAGGCCAUGUAUACCGGCGAUGCUCACCAUAUAGUUUCCCCUGCCGAAGACAGACGGCAUAAGUGGUAGACUUGGUGAGUGAAAGGGCGGCUCGCCCCAGUCGGAGGGUAGGCCGAUUGAGCCUGUUGGUGACGACAGGCCCAGAUAAAUGAUGGUGAUUUUGCUUCGGCAAGAUACAGGAUCCGGCUUAUAAGAAUGCGAAGAGA
This 440-nucleotide RNase P RNA is filed under the name Bacteroidota bacterium. RNAcentral's name for it is "Bacteroidetes bacterium (hydrothermal vent metagenome) RNase P RNA component class A". It matches the Rfam family "Bacterial RNase P class A". Rfam says of the family: Ribonuclease P (RNase P) is a ubiquitous endoribonuclease, found in archaea, bacteria and eukarya as well as chloroplasts and mitochondria. Its best characterised activity is the generation of mature 5'-ends of tRNAs by cleaving the 5'-leader elements of precursor-tRNAs. Cellular RNase Ps are ribonucleoproteins. Lineage: Bacteria; Pseudomonadati; Bacteroidota. The record is from RNAcentral.